CAAAAAACGAAAAAACAUAUCGCAUCCAAACAGCACCUAAUUAAACAGAGGUUACAGAGCCUCCACCUCGAGAGCAAAACCGAAAGUAAGCUUCGCUUCUAUGGCAAUACGCUGUCGCUCACUCAUUUCCUGUUUCAGACGUUGUAAACCUGAAUUAGAGGAGAGAAAACUGUCGAUGUUCACGCAAAUCAAUAAUUUCGCUGAAUCGUCCCUGCAAUACAGCAAUAGCAAUGGCAAUCUCAAAAGCGAAAUUAUGCGAAUGAAAUCGCCUGAGGCAAGCGCAACCUCUAUCCUUCAGAAAUGGGUCGAUAAUGGCCGCGAGGUUACAAUCUCUCAGCUCAGAUACAUCUCUAGACUACUGGUGCAAUCUAGGCGCUACAAGCAUGCACUUGAGAUAGGCACAUGGAUGGAAGCUCAAAAAGGUUUUCGCAUGUCAGCAGCAGAUCGUGCCGUAAGACUGGAAUUAAUCAUGGAAGUGCGAGGUUUAAAGGAGGCAGAAGAAUAUUUCAAACUUAUACCUGAUUCUGCUUCAAAAAAAGCUGCCUCUCUUCCUCUUCUUCAUGGCUAUGUAAAAGAGAGAGACAUAGUGAAAGCUGAGGCUUUGAUGAUGAAUCUGAAUGGCUUGGGGUUGAUUGUGAGCCCUCAUCCAUUUAAUGAGAUGAUGAAACUUUAUAUGGCCACGUCAAAUUAUGAGAAAGUACCCUUAGUUAUCCUGGAAAUGAAGAACAAUAAAAUACCAUUAAAUAUUCUCUCCUACAAUCUUUGGAUGAGUUCAUGUGGUGAGGCAUCUGAUGUCACUAAAGCAGAGAUGGUAUACAAACAAAUGGUGAAUGAUGAAAACGUUGAAGUUGGAUGGAGCACUCUGUCCACUUUGGCCAAUAUUUAUGUAAAGGUAGGCCUUGUUGAUAAAGCUCUUUCAUCCCUUAAAAAUGCAGAGAGAAAGCUCUCUACCAGUAAUCGCCUUGGUUACUUCUUCCUUAUUACACUAUAUUCCUCAUUGAAGAAUAAUGAGGGAGUUUGGAGGCUUUGGGAAGCCAGUAAAGCCGUUGGUGGAAGAAUUACAUGUUCCAACUACAUGUGUAUACUGUCAUGCUUGGUUAAGGUAGGUGAAUUUAUAAAAGCUGAAAAAGUGUUUAUGGAAUGGGAGUCCAAUUGUUGGAAAUACGACAUUAGAGUCUCCAAUGUCCUUCUUGGUGCAUAUGUGCGGAAUGGAAUGAUAAACAAAGCUGAGUCAUUACAUCUUCACACAUUGGAAAGAGGUGGAUGCCCAAAUUAUAAGACAUGGGAGAUUCUAAUGGAGGGAUGGGUGAAAAGCCAAAAGAUGGAUAAGGCCAUUAUUGCCAUGAAGGAAGCAUUUUCUAUGUUGAAAUAUUGUGAUUGGAGACCAUCACAUGGUAUUUUAAUGGCCAUCGCAGAGUACUUGGAGAAGAACAGGAAUUUAGGAGAUGCAAACUGCUGUAUUCAGGUUAUCCAUCAUUUUGGUGUUGCAAGUUUACCACUGUAUAAAAUCCUCCUUAGAAUGCACCUGCAUGCACGCAGAGCACCUUUUCACAUCCUUAAAAUGAUGGAGAAGGACAAAAUUGAGAUGGAUGAUGAGACUUCUGUCCUUGUUCAAGCUUUCAGUUCGCAUGUCUGAUAUAUCAGCGCAUUGAUGUUUAUAGUGGAUGUCUGCAGACACUGGUGGAUAACAACUGACACCUUGUAUAAUACUCAUCAUGAAACUCUACAAACAAUGGCUGGUAUCCCAUGGUAUUUGCAGCCACAAAUGGUGCUAACCAGGUCAAUAUAACUUUCUUCCCUUAAUGUGGCAUUCGGGCGAUGGGUGUUAAAGAGGAAGUUUUUGAUAUUUGCUAACAAUUUAUGGCAAGGUAGUGCUCUUUUUUAAAUUAUGAUUUUCAACCAAAUUUUCAAACCAAUCACCAACCUAAGUAAUGGUCUCCGGUUCAUGACUUCCUUUACAGAUGUCAAUACAGCCACAGGCAAUGUACAGAACCAGAAGGCUUAUUGUUUCACCUCCAAAGGAUUGUCUUCCUUUUAGACCCCUUGCUUCAGCUUCAUUUAUAACUUUCUCUCUUCUUACCCCCUUCCGCUGUAAAUGCACGCAUGCUUGCCUUCAUGGAUUGGAAUAGCAUCUGGGCCACUUAAUUGUUUAGACGGAAGGAAGAGUUAGAUUUUAUGCAAACUUAGCCAGCUUAUUCCGUCCAUUAUGGAAUUCCCAUAUGGAUCUCAUGCAAGGAGCAAAUAGUCCUGCAUCACAUUAAUAAAUCUUGUUUGGGAGAUUGUUCUCAAUAUAUUUAUUUCCCUUUCCUUUUCCAGUUAAUUCAUGAGCAUUUUAUUAUUCUGUUUCUCAAAGUUGUUUACUUGGUUUCAUAGCUUCUCAUUUGAGUUUGCUCACUUGUUAACAGGCACAUUAGAUUUAUCAGCAGGCUCAAUGACGGACUAGCCAUCUGCUUGUAUUUUUGGAACAAAUUAACAUUUAUAAAGAAGUAACAGAGUCAUCAAUACAGCAGAUUAUUAAUAUAAUAGAGCCAACAAGCAAUCAUGCACAUAAGAGAGACAGUCACCAUUAAUAUGUUACAAUGAGGAGUGAUGCUAAGGGCUAAAGGUUGAUGAUGAAGCCUUCCACAAAUUGUACAACCCUUUUAGGUGUUCUUUCAAUUUAUUCCAGGGAGAGAUAAAUUCCUUGAUAGCAGGAGCUGGAAGGAAAUUGUCAAACCAAGUGUCGAGCAGAGGCAUGGUUUCUGCAUCAAUCACAUUUACACUCGCAAUUUCCUCAACUAUUUGAAUCCAUCCUGUAGCAAUCUCCAAAUAGCCUAUUCUUUCACCUUCAAAGAAUCUCUUCCCCUCCAAAAUGCUUUCCAGAGUCUUCAGCUUCUCUCUUAACUUCUUUCACUACCUCAUCCUUCUCCUCCCCUUCUGUGACAAAUGUAUGCAUGAUCACAGCCAUGCACUGAAAUAGAAGAUGAGCAUAUCAAUGAAUUUUAAGAAGAAAAGAUUUUAAUCUUGUGUUCUACUAUAGCAGUAAAUGUGAACUUCCAAGAAAAAUGCAUGUCUGAUAGUGUGAUUGCUAUUUGCUAGUGAAUUUUCUUAUUUUGGUCUUUCUUAACCAGUUCAUCUGAAAACUUUGGUUUGAAACAUUAUAUAACUUCAGUUCUCUUCUGCAAA
Jatropha curcas is the source of this 3165-nucleotide RNA transcript. It is a transcript of the gene named Tetratricopeptide repeat (TPR)-like superfamily protein, with no coding region annotated. The record is from RefSeq and is a predicted model, not a curated record. NCBI's taxonomy places the organism in Eukaryota, Viridiplantae, Streptophyta, Magnoliopsida, Malpighiales, Euphorbiaceae.